CUUCCCUCUUCCCUCAGAUCUCGAUCUGCCGCUGCCCACAACCCCACCCCCACCGCCACCAUCGACGACCAUCACCGUAGACGAGGUCGAGGCCGACCCAAGAUCGAGCCCAUGCCCAGACUCGCGAUGUGCACAACGGGGAUUCACAGGCAACCCCACGCAAAUCAGGACCUCGAUCUGGAUCGAGCAGGCGCUCUCCACCGACGGGGCUUGGGCUGGCCGGCGUCCCACGUUGACGUCCUCCUCCCUCCCGCUCCCGGCAAUGCGCUCGGUCUCCGCACUCGGCCUCACCUUCAUAGUCACAGCGGGAUCUGCAUGGAGAUGGCACGGGUGCUGGCGGCACGUGGGGCGCGGCACCCACGUCUUCAUAGCCGCCUGGAACCUCACCGCCGCCGAGACCAUGCGCCAGGCCGUCCUGGCCGAGACCCCUGGCGCGAGCGUGGACGUGAUGGAGCAUCCGUGUGCAACUUCUUAUUCCUCGCCGUGAUAGAGCGGGAUGUUGAGCGGGAUCCGUCCACAGAGCCAUCCCUUUCCCUCCUUCGUCACCUCCGUCCGCAACUUCGCAGCCGGCUUCGCUGACAGGGGCCUACCGCUCAACAUCCUCAUUGAGAGAGCUGAAUGGGGCGAGGCUGGAGGCAUCGGUGAGGGCGUACGGUGGCGCCCGCCAGAGCAAGGUGUCCAACAAAUGGAGAAGAAGGAGCACGCCUAGGAGAAGAAGGAGCAAGCCCAGGAGAAAAACAACGAGCAGGAGAAGAGGGGAGCAAGCCCAACUUAAACUAUUGUUGUUUAUGUUGUUACACGCUUGUUGAUCCGUCAGACUCCACGGCUGCUCCGCAUCGUCCACACAUGUCAUUUUUAUUAUCAAAAUCUGAAUUGUAGUAGUCAUAAUAUUGGGCUGUUGGGAGCCUCACCUUUUUGUGCACAAUACAUUUAGCACACAUGUCCACACUAAGUGCUUAUGAAAUAGCUAUGUGUCCUACACAAUAAGUGCUUGUUCAUGUUUGGUUUUCCCUAAACUUUGUUUGUAUGCUUGAGAGCAAAUUUAGUUGAUUCUUUGAUGAAGCACUAAGACUAUGCAUGGAACAUUAGUUUUUAAGAUCUAAAACUGCUCGUCGUUUCUGUGAUGAUGUAGUUUAGUAGAUCUCAACUGAACCAUGUCUGUAUUAUGUGCCAGUGUAGCUGUACUGAUUCUUUGGUUUUCAUCCGUGCAACAGAGGACAAGGGCGUCAUGGCCAACCAAGGCGCAUGGUGCUCGCAAGCAACGAGCGGAGGUUGUUUGACAUCGGCACGGAGGAGGAGGACGGGCACGGACGGAGGACAGAGCAUCUCUCUUCUUCCAGUGAGCAGCUUCAGGAGGAGCUCAAGCACGACCACCAAGAGGCACCACCGCAGCAAUAGGGCGACUGUGGAAGGCAUGUUGUAUUUCUGUCAGCCCAGUCCUGACUAUGUCUGUCCGUGAGUCCGACAUUUGAUCGCUGUUGAAGGAGCUCCAUGCUGAAGAAGAGAACACUUGUAGAGCUUGUAACAUUACUUGGAGAGCUUGUAAAGUACUGUAGAGCUU
RNAcentral lists this ribosomal RNA (1561 nucleotides) under Triticum aestivum (bread wheat). RNAcentral's name for it is "partial small subunit ribosomal RNA". The record is from RNAcentral. Lineage: Eukaryota; Viridiplantae; Streptophyta; Magnoliopsida; Poales; Poaceae.